CCAGGACCCAGUGGACUUCCAGGUGGAAAUGGAUUUCGGGGUCCUCCUGGACCUUCUGGUCUGCCAGGAUUCCCAGGGCCUCCUGGACCACCUGGACCUCCCGGUCUUGCAGGCAUCAUUCCCGAAGGCGGUGGGGACCUUCAGUGCCCAGCUCUGUGCCCACCAGGUCCUCCUGGUCCUCCAGGAAUGCCAGGCUUCAAGGGACACACUGGUCACAAAGGAGAACCUGGUGAAAUAGGCAAAGAAGGAGAGAAGGUAAACUUCAAUCUAAGGGGUGGGGAGGGACUUUGGUACUUAAAAACACCACAGCAAACAGUUUUAUUGAGGAG
RNAcentral lists this long non-coding RNA (329 nucleotides) under Chrysolophus pictus (golden pheasant). Its description in RNAcentral is "lncRNA (ENSCPIG00010011939.1)". Lineage: Eukaryota; Metazoa; Chordata; Aves; Galliformes; Phasianidae. The record is from RNAcentral.